CUCGUAAUAUUACUUCCUUCCUAUGAUAACUCAACACUUAUUAAAAUUGUAAAAAUAAAGUAAAACAACAUUUACGAAGAUUUCUUCUUUUUAUUUUUUUUUCCUUUUCCAUGAUUUUCAUUUUAAGAGAUGACUUCUGAAUUCCAAUCCACAAAAUCGGCUAUCUUGUAAAGCAAUGGGGAAACUUUGUCAUUAAUUUGUAAGCGUUGAGAGAUGAGCAGGUCCAUUUUACAUUUAGUGUACCGAAUCAUCUAUUGUUCCUGAUCAGAACAUCCAGCUAUGUCCUAUCUGUGAACGUAACAACCAAUAGGUCAAAAUGCACAUAUAGUUCUUCAAAUUUGGCUCCAUUUAUUAAUUUAAACAUCUCAACAGAUGAGGUGUGACGAAUGGAAUAUUCAAUUUAUGGAGUACUUAAAGUUACACAUGUCAUUAGUUUAAAAUAUAGAGUUCGUUACUUAAAUAAUCACUCAACUAUCUGAAAUUAUCAAGUAAAGUCAUUAUUUUUUCGUUCGUAACAUAAAAGUCACUUAACUAUGUCUAUAGCUCAGAAGGUCAUUCAACCAGAUUUCUCAAACUUUUGAUUGUCAAAUACCUAUUUUACCCUCUAAAAUAGGUAUUUGAUAUUAUGGACUUACCUAUAGAACAAAUAAAUUUUAUCUAUAAAAUAAAAAUAAAAAUAAAAAUAAAAAAUUAAUUUUCUAGCAUAUUUAAUGUCAGAAUAAUAAUAUAAUUGAGCAUAAUUUUCAAGAAUAUAUAAUUUAUAUUAUAAAAAUACCUUUAUUAUUUAUUUUUCUAUUACAUGCAUGGAAUAUAUAUUAUGAAACCUUUAUUUUCUUUCGUUCUCAAUUAUGUAAAUAUUUUUUUGAGUUUUUGCUGUAAAUAUCAAAAUUAUUAUUAAGAACAAAUUGUUCUAAUUAAUAUUUUUACUAUGCUCAAUAUUUUAUUAUUCCAACAUUAUAUAUUCUUAAACACUAUUUUAUUUUUAAUUUAUAAAUAAAACUUAUUUAUUCUGUAGGUAAGUCCAUAAUAUAAAUUAAAAAGAUAAAAAUAUCAUAAUAUUAAAAAGUUUAAAAAAAUAAAAAGAAGAUAAACGUUGAUAAUUUAGAGGAUAGAAUAGGUAUUUAGCAAUUAAAAAUUUGAGAAAUCUAGUUCAAUGACAUUCUGAGUGUUAAUGCAUAGUUGAGUGACUUUGAUGUUACAAAGAAAAGAAAGAUGACUUUAAUAGGUAAUUUGGGAUAGUUGAGUGAAUAUUUGAGUAAUGAACUCUUAAAAUAUAAUAAAUUAUUUUCCUCUACUGCAAAAAAAAGAAGGAGAAAGAGUUAUAAAAUGGAAAAUAGUAAUUACUUCUAAUCGUGGAGUUGGACCACGAGAAAGAGCAGUCAAAUAUGGGAUGCUAAGGAAGUGAGUAUAGUUUGUUGUUUCUGUUAGUUUAAAUUAAUGUUAGUUAUAAAUUAAUGUUAGUUAUGUCUUUGUUGUUGUUUAUAUCUCAUGUAUAUAAUACUUAUAUAUUAGAUCCCAUGCUUUUUCUUUUAUGCUUUAAUAUCAUAUAAACUUAGGCAAGCCUUAAAUAAUAUAGGAUUUAAAAGGAAAAUUAGUUAGAAGUAGAUCCUUAACUCACUAAUUAUAAUCUGCUCGCAAAUUAUUAUGUUUUUCACUCACCCUUCUUUCCUUUAAAGAUUUCAAAAUUCAGAACUUAGCAAAACAACAGCUCUAUUUCAAAAAGGGAAAUCGAAUCUCAACUUCAUUUUCAAAAGGAAAAUCAGAACUUCAAGAACUGUCGCCUUUAAGGAAAUUUCGGCAAAUAACCUCUUCUUUGAAAACCCUCUGAAUCUAAGGUAAUUAUAGGCUUACUUUCUUAUAAAAUAUCCCUUUAGAGUUAUAUAAAUAACCAUCCCCCAAAUUAAAGUAUUUUCAUAACUCAAUCUCUUUUAUAAACUUAUAAAAUCUAGACCACUUAUAUGCCAAUUUCAACCUAAGAUCUCAAAAGGGGCAUGCUUUUAACAGUAUUAGCAAGUCAAUGUGUUUAGACAAUAUCAACAAAUGGGCUUCAUAAGGUUUGAGAGUCAAGUUCAACUUCAGGUUAACAAUAAGGAGGAGGGCUGAGUAUAACUUAAGGUAGAACAUGAUGUUAAAGAGUUAAGCAAGGAGGCUAGCAACAUUCAGUCAAUUGUUCAUAGGCAAAAUAAAUAAAAUAGUGAUCGCAUGUAGGUAGAGGAACUUUACAUAUUAUAGAACCAAUUACAUAACUAAAUCAACAUAUUGGUAAAAAAAGGAGAUGGAAAAUAUUGCAUCAAAACAAGUUCAAACUCAAACAUAAAUCUAGUUCAACAUAUAGAUAUGAAGUGAUCAUGCUUCAACUCCUAAAAGGGUCACUUGAUUAUAACAUAGUGUCUAAGUCCUUUUUUCAUGGAAGAUCAGUUAAAUAUAGAUGCAUGCAAACUUUACAAAAUCAACAGGGGCUCAAAAGAUUAAUGACAGGGAUGUACUGCACAAGUUUUGAAUUGCACAUGUAUAUGAAUAUCUUAAUAUGAUUAUGGGAGAAACGAACAUAGUUAUGCAAUAAUUAUCAGUUGACUUUAUCCAAACAAAAUCAUGACUUACAUUAAGGGGAAGAUAACUUAACCUUAACAGAAUAUAUAUAACAAAAGGGUUCAGGAGAAGGAGACAUGUUGAUGCAAAUAAGAUAGUUUCCUAUAACAGCUGAGUAUGAUUAUGAAAAGGCCAUAGUGAUAGCCCAUAUAUCACCCUCAGAGUUAGUAAAUAUAGAUGUAGAGAAGGAAAGUAUCUAAUCACUUAAAUUCUUUCAACUUAAGUGACAUGGACAUAUUGAAUUUUUAGGAGUAUAUCAGUUAAGGUUACCAAAUAAUGAAAUCAACCAUAAGGAAAAUAAGGUGCAGGAAAAUAAGAUGAAGUCUCAACAAAAUCAUCAAUGAAGGGAAAGGCAUGAAGUUUAGAUGAGCAUGAUUGGUUCAAUAAUAAUGAUAGCUAAAAUAAAGUAAAAGACUAUAGUAGUAACUCAGCAAAAUAGUUGGACAAACACAAGCAGAGACACUUCAAGUUUAGGCUCAUGGUUAAAAGGCAAGGGGAUAUAAGUCAUCUUAGUUCAGGUUUCAUUUAAGUCAUAACUAUCAGGUAGUAAACUCAGCUUCCAAAACUCACAAAAUUACAGAAGUGCAAUAAGAUAGAGAUGAGUUUAUUGCAAGUCACUGAGAACUAUGAAGUUUGUAUUGAACAUAAACAUGUAAGAAUUCAUGCAUGGAGAUUGUAGGAAAACUCAGAACAAAGAUCAACAAUUAUCAAUGACUUAAUCGAUUAUCAUUUUAGAGAAUCAUAACAGAACAAGCUAACCAUAAAAGGUUGUCAAACUAACAAAGCAUAAAUAGCAAACAUGUCAAACACAUACAACAUAAUUAUAAUCUACAGAACUUAACUCGACAUAUCUAAAUCAUUCAGAAAGGUGAAUAAAAGAAAAAGGGAGAGAAAGAUGAUGACCUUCUUAAGGGCAGCAGACCAAACGAAUUCUUUUUGUUGUUCAAGAUCCCAGAACCUUCGAUCUUGAACCAACAAAAGAACUCGAUUAAAGAGAGGGGACACAGUAAGAAAGCUAUGACCAGAAAUCCUAAUGUACUAAGUGUCGUGUGUGCUUAGUGUUCGUGACUGUAUGUGUGUUCAGUGUUAGGUUGUUGUAGAUGAAAAUAUUAAAGGCCCUAUUUAUAGUGCCAUUUAAGGCCUUAGAGUUUAAGAUUUUAAACUAAGAUAGUGUAGAGUGAUGAUGAGUUGAUGAUGUGAGCAUAGUCGGGUAAAAUAUGAGAGAUCAAAGGGGAAAUCAGUGUUUGAGUUUACCUGAGUGGAGAAAUAUGAGAGGCUGAACGUUGAAGAACAAGCAACCACUGGUCAGAACCCUAAUACCCAGAGGUCAUUGAAUUUGACCUUUGGUGUCGAAUAUCAAUGAUGAAGCCAGCUAACAUCUCAUGCUUGCUUCGAUUGGUAAGGACGAAAGAAAAUCUGGCGAGUUGAAGUUUCAUCUCUGGGGUUAGUGUUUGGAUUUGGGAGAUUUGAAUUUUGAUGAUGAAACAAGCAAAGAUACAACGAGAAUCAUGGAUAUGGGGGACAAAUGAGAUGAUUUGAGGUUAAUUUCAUGACCUUGCACUAAUUUGUGCAAGGGUUGUUGAUUGAUGGAGCUAGGGCAGACGAGAAAAAAGAGAUAAGAAGAGGAAAUAUGGGCGACUGGGAAGGUGACAAAUGAUUUAGAAUUUU
Molecule: long non-coding RNA, 4257 nt
Filed under: Nicotiana tabacum (common tobacco)
Lineage: Eukaryota; Viridiplantae; Streptophyta; Magnoliopsida; Solanales; Solanaceae
Description: long non-coding RNA (NTAB_LNC012576)
Source: RNAcentral